GACGAACGCUGGCGGCGUGCCUAAUACAUGCAAGUCGAGCGAAGAUUUUCUGGUUCUUGCGCCGGAACAACUUAGCGGCGCACGGGUGAGAAACACGUAAAGAACCUGCCUUAUAGACUGGGACUACUAUUGGAAACGAUAGCUAAUACCGGAUAACAGCAUUAACUGCAUGGUUGAUGUUUGAAUGUUGGUUUUGCUAACACUAUGAGAUUGCUUUGCGGUGUAUUAGCUAGUUGGUGGGGUAAAGCCCUACCAAGGCGACGAUGCAUAGCCGACCUGAGAGGGUGGUCGCCCACCCUGGGAGUGAGACAGGCCCCAGACUCCUGAGGGAGGCACCAGUAGGGAAUCUGACGCAAUGGGCGAAAGCAUGACGGAGCAACGCCGCGUGAGUGAAGAAAGAGUUCGGUUCGUAAAGCUCUGUUGUUAGGGAAGAAUGACUGUGUAGUAACAAGACACGGUAGUGACGGUACCGAGCCAAAAAGCAACGGCUAACUACGUG
Molecule: ribosomal RNA, 499 nt
Filed under: uncultured bacterium
Lineage: Bacteria
Description: partial 16S ribosomal RNA
Rfam family: Bacterial small subunit ribosomal RNA
Source: RNAcentral